CAAAUUAAGCUAGAAAAAUGUGUAAAUAAACAGUAAUAAAUAUAAUAAAAAUGUGGCUAAAUUAUGCUUGAUCAUUUGUGCUAUGUGAUGUAUGUGAUGUGGGUUCAUGUGGAAAUGCUGCUAAUGUUAUGUGUGUAUGUGUUGUGUUUCAGAAAACAGAAUGCGAGGCACUCGUCGAUCUGCACGAUUGACUGGAGUCCCACCAGAGAAUGAGGGCAUGGAUGCCCGUCCCCCUGCAUUGCUAAGGGCAAUGUCAUGUAGAUCAAGCAGAGGAGGAACAUCAAGGGACCCUAGAAGGUCUUUUGAUGUGAGUCGGAG
This 318-nucleotide long non-coding RNA is filed under the name Manihot esculenta (cassava). RNAcentral describes it as "long non-coding RNA (MESC_LNC011735)". The record is from RNAcentral. Lineage: Eukaryota; Viridiplantae; Streptophyta; Magnoliopsida; Malpighiales; Euphorbiaceae.